This 1889-nucleotide ribosomal RNA is filed under the name Ortheziidae sp. JRC-2012. RNAcentral's name for it is "SSU rRNA". It matches the Rfam family "Eukaryotic small subunit ribosomal RNA", at positions 154 to 1731 of the family's 1831-position model. The record is from RNAcentral. Lineage: Eukaryota; Metazoa; Arthropoda; Insecta; Hemiptera; Ortheziidae.
AAUUCUAGAGCUAAUACAUGCCGAUAGAGUUCCGCCCAUCAGUCGAGUUGGUUCGCAAGUCUCUUGCGUCCUCUCGACGUUCGGAAGGAACGCUUUUAUUAGAUCAAAACCGGCCAGACGGCGUAUUGUUUCGACAAUGCGUCGUAAACGGCCCGCGCAAAGACUUGGUGACUCUGAAUAACUUUGAGCUGAUCGCACGGUCUUAGCACCGGCGACGCAUCUUUCAAAUGUCUGCCUUAUCAACUGUCGACGGUAGGUUCGACGCCUACCGUGGUGGUAACGGGUAACGGGGAAUCAGGGUUCGAUUCCGGAGAGGGAGCCUGAGAAACGGCUACCACAUCCAAGGAAGGCAGCAGGCGCGCAAAUUACCCACUCCCGGCACGGGGAGGUAGUGACGAAAAAUAACGAUACGGGACUCAAAUGAGGCCCCGUAAUCGGAAUGAGUACACUGUAAAACAUUGGUCGCACGAGGAUCAAUUGGAGGGCAAGUCUGGUGCCAGCAGCUGCGGUAAUUCCAGCUCCAAUAGCGUAUAUUAAAGUUGUUGCGGUUAAAAAGCUCGUAGUUGGAAUCUGUGUUCAGCUUAGUCGGCUAUGUGCCGUACUGAGUUGAUUUGCGAGCAGUGAUAGUUCCCGGCGUGCCAGCGGGAGGCAGGCGGACACGUUCCCGACCGGCGCGUCUGGUUUCGGCUGUUGGGAGGCGGCCGCCGAUAAAUCCUGUUCGUGCGUUGGCGUCUAACUUCGGUUGUCGCGGCGUACGGCGGGCCGGCACGUUUACUUUGAACAAAUUAGAGUGCUCAAAGCAGGCUCGAAAAAGGCGUGUGCCCUCGUGGUAUGCGUCAUACAGCCCUGAAUAUGGUCGCAUGGAAUAAUGGAACAAGACCUCGGUCCCGCCUCUACGGGUCGCGUUCUGAUUGGUCGUUCCCGGAUCAGUUCGGGUCACGAUCGUUGGCCGGUUUUCGGGACCGGAGGUAAUGAUCAACAGAGACAGGCGUGGGCAUUCGUACCGCGACGUUAGAGGUGAAAUUCUUGGAUCGUCGCGAGACGAACCGAAGCGAAAGCAUUUGCCAAGUAUGUUCUCGUCUGAUCAAGAACGAAAGUUAGAGGUUCGAAGGCGAUCAGAUACCGCCCUAGUUCUAACCGUAAACGAUGCCAGCUAGCGAUCCGCCGUUGUUUCUAGUAUGACUCGGCGGGCAGCUUCCGGGAAACCGAAGCUUUUCGGUUCCGGGGGAAGUAUGGUUGCAAAGCUGAAACUUAAAGGAAUUGACGGAAGGGCACCACCAGGAGUGGAGCCUGCGGCUUAAUUUGACUCAACACGGGAAACCUCACCAGGCCCGGACACCGGAAAGAUUGACAGAUUGAGAGCUCUUUCUUGAUUCGGUGGGUGGUGGUGCAUGGCCGUUCUUAGUUGGUGGAGCGAUCUGUCUGGUUAAUUCCGAUAACGAACGAGACUCUGUCCUGCUAACUAGGCGUUGGUGUUGUGCAUCGCGGCCGUCACCAGUAGGUAAACGACACCAAUUAGAGCUACCGCCGGCUUAAUAAGCUUAAACUCUUCUUAGAGGGACAGGCGGCGGACUAACAUAGCCGCACGAGACUGAGCGAUAACAGGUCUGUGAUGCCCUUAGAUGUUCUGGGCCGCACGCGCGCUACACUGAAGGAAUCAGCGUGUAAAUAUUUCCCGGGCCGAGAGGCUAUCCGGGUAACCCGCUGAACCUCCUUCGUGCUAGGGAUCGGGGCUUGCAAUUAUUCCCCGUGAACGAGGAAUUCCCAGUAAGCGCGAGUCAUCAGCUCGCGUUGAUUACGUCCCUGCCCUUUGUACACACCGCCCGUCGCUACAACCGAUUGAACGACCGCAGUGAGGUCUUCGGACCGAGGCGCGGCGGCGUUGCCUU